CGGACGGGUGAGUAAUGUCUGGGAAACUGCCUGAUGGAGGGGGGUAACUACUGGAAACGGUAGCUAAUACCGCAUAACGUCGCAAGACCAAAGAGGGGGACCUUCGGGCCUCUUGCCAUCGGAUGUGCCCAGAUGGGAUUAGCUAGUAAGUGGGGUAACGGCUCACCUAGGCGACGAUCCCUAGCUGGUCUGAGAGGAUGACCAGCCACACUGGAACUGAGACACGGUCCAG
This 232-nucleotide ribosomal RNA is filed under the name uncultured bacterium. RNAcentral describes it as "partial 16S ribosomal RNA". It matches the Rfam family "Bacterial small subunit ribosomal RNA", at positions 99 to 334 of the family's 1533-position model. The record is from RNAcentral.